CAGGGAGACAACAAAAUGUUUAAUAUUAUUAUUUUGUCACCUUAGGUCGAUCGGUGUCUUACGUUCUUAAUUUAUUAAGAAUUUCAUUUCCUAAGUUAUUCUAGGUCACACCCAUUAUUUUUCCUGGGCCAUUAGCUCAGGUGGUUAGAGCGCACCCCUGAUAAGGGUGAGGUCCCUGGUUCAAGUCCAGGAUGGCCCAUAUCUCUAUGUUGGGGGUAUAGCUCAGUUGGUAGAGCGCCUGCUUUGCAAGCAGGAUGUCAGCGGUUCGAGUCCGCUUACCUCCACUGAUUACCACCUCUUCCAUAAUGUGUAUAAAGGAAAUUUUUUGAGUUGUGAUCAAAUUCUGAACGAAUCUAGCUUCCUAAUAAAAUUAUUAAGAUGCUGGACUCAUUGAAUUAAUUUCAUUGUUUUCAGAGAACCUUGACAACUGCAUAGAUUAUUUUUAAAGACAAUAAGCAUCUUUAGUGAUGCAGAUUUAUUAUUUGUGCGAAUGCAUUAAUAACAAUUCUAUUAAGCUGAUGCUUCAAUUUUGAAGUUAUU
This 540-nucleotide transfer RNA is filed under the name uncultured cyanobacterium. RNAcentral describes it as "partial contains 16S ribosomal RNA, 16S-23S ribosomal RNA intergenic spacer, and 23S ribosomal RNA". The stretch from base 212 to 284 matches the Rfam family "tRNA". The record is from RNAcentral. Lineage: Bacteria; Bacillati; Cyanobacteriota.